AAAAAGAAAAAUCCAAAAAUCCCUCUGGAAAUUGUUUUUUUAAUAUUUCAACAAAUAUUUAAGAUUUCAGAUUUCUGUUCUGGACUAUGCAAAUGUAUGCAUAUUUAAUUAGAUAAUGCGUAAAUAAAUCAUUUGCAUACUUAGUCAAUUUCAGAAAACUUGUAACACAAAAGUUGUAAUUAAUCAUCUGGAAAUAUGGUGGAAUCUAUUAGUUUUGUUAUCCUAUUCACCUCAGGUGUUCUGCCUUAAAAGUUAAAACACUGCUUAUCUACCUUUAGUAAGAAAUAUCACGGAAAUCACAUUUAUUGGUAUGAACACGAGCGCAUCAUCAGCCUCUACUCUUCACAGCUCCUGGUCUUUCAUAAGAGCCCGCCUCUCAGGUCAACGCUGUGAAGCGAUUGGCUUUCGGUCAGAAGCACACUGCUGUGAUUGGCUGAGCCGAGCUGUCCAUCGAAGCGCUCCACGCCGCUCUCUCGUGUUUCCACGUUAAAUGAAAACAAACACUUCCGAAAGCUAAACAUUAUCGUGCACAAGCGACACAGUGUAACGGAACCGGCUCCUGAAGGCAGGGAUCGGGCCCCGGGGCCGCUGCGGGGGACAGGGGCACAUGCCACGCCACUGAAAGCCCCGAGGGCGGAGCGCAGCAGAACACCAGGCUCUUGGUGGGCGCUCCGGGUCUCUGUGUCUGAUGAGGAUGUCUGAGAGAGCUCUGGACGAGGACGAACACCAGCUCAACACGUCUCUGAACUGCAGCGGCGACACACAGCUGCAAACACCUGGACCGAGCGCUGAAAGACUCCAGGUACAGCGGCACGAGCUCCAUCUCCUCCCAGAGUUCAGUGCGGUGUGUCAUGAUGUGCUUCAGUUCUGCAUGCUGCUCAUUUAUCAUCGAGGAUCUGGCUGUGCUUCCUCCAUUACCCCAGGAUCAGCAGGAUUCAGGAGGACGAGGCUGAAGGACAGUCGGUCGGGGAACAGCCUCCAAAGCAGCUCAGAGAACGAGGCCCAGUCUUCAGAGCCGCGGCCGUGGAGCAGCUCCAGCCUCAACCUGAAGCAUCCCGGUCCUGACCCGCGGAGACCGCUCCAGCAGCAGCAGGAGCGCGGGACGCCUCUCAAACACAGGUCAGCAGUGCUGUCGUCUACAGUCCCAGCCUGACCUCACAGGCCUCCAGGUGUCACUCAUCUGUAGCUCCGCCUCCUGCCGCUCAGCCCACCAAUCACCUCACAGAACAGAUGCCGGUGUGUCACUGUUCGUCCAGCCAGUUCCCGGUGUCUGGACAGCCGUACCUGCGCAUGGGUCCAGUGCCAUACAGCGCUCAGAGUCAGAUUCCUCCCGCACCCCCGCAGCAGCCAGGUACAUCACUGCACACACACUAGGGCUGUCAAAAUAGAUGAAAAACUACAUUCGAAGUUUGUACUUAAAUAUCAUCAGUAUUCACAUUAUAUUCGAAUUUAAAAGGAAUAAUUUCAGGUAGGGGGAAGGAAGCUUUUGGCUUCUCACCUGAGGCCACAAGAGGGUACUAAUGCACUUUUAUGUUUAUAAAUGUUUAUAAACCAUAUAUAAUUAAGUUGCUUAAACAAUUAGAACAAAAACACAUCAUGUAUGUACAAUAUGUGUAGUUUAAUAUAAAAGACAGAAAAACCAAGAGUACUUUUUUAUUUAAAAACAUUAGAUGAGCACAUUGGAAAUUAAUUAAAUUUAUUUUUAUUUCCUAGUGGAAGUGCUUGGUACUGCGGCCAAACUAAAUCUGACUGAAACCUCAUGUUUUGUGAUAUCAACCUCAAAUUCGGAACAUAACUAGUUAAGAUUUAUAGCUUUGAUUUUCUUGCAGUUUUAGGGUAAAACAUGCUUUGGAAAUUAUAUAUAUUUUAUAUAAAAUAUUAAAAUAUAAUUUUUGUGCAUUUUUCAUACUAAUAAACUUUAAUUAAAGUUAUAAAAAUAAAACCUA
Long non-coding RNA from Cyprinus carpio (common carp), 1946 nucleotides. The record is from Ensembl. NCBI's taxonomy places the organism in Eukaryota, Metazoa, Chordata, Actinopteri, Cypriniformes, Cyprinidae.